This 62-nucleotide transfer RNA is filed under the name Dipodomys ordii (Ord's kangaroo rat). It matches the Rfam family "tRNA", at positions 1 to 61 of the family's 71-position model. From Rfam's summary of the family: Transfer RNA (tRNA) molecules are approximately 80 nucleotides in length. Their secondary structure includes four short double-helical elements and three loops (D, anti-codon, and T loops). Further hydrogen bonds mediate the characteristic L-shaped molecular structure. tRNAs have two regions of fundamental functional importance: the anti-codon, which is responsible for specific mRNA codon recognition, and the 3' end, to which the tRNAs corresponding amino acid is attached (by aminoacyl-tRNA synthetases). tRNAs cope with the degeneracy of the genetic code in two manners: having more than one tRNA (with a specific anti-codon) for a particular amino acid; and 'wobble' base-pairing, i.e. permitting non-standard base-pairing at the 3rd anti-codon position. The record is from Rfam by way of RNAcentral. Lineage: Eukaryota; Metazoa; Chordata; Mammalia; Rodentia; Heteromyidae.
GGAAUGGUGGCUUAAUGGUAGAGUGCUUGCCUUGCAUGCAUGAGGACCUGGGUUCCAUUCCU